This 90-nucleotide non-coding RNA is filed under the name Companilactobacillus ginsenosidimutans. RNAcentral describes it as "Lactobacillus ginsenosidimutans TPP sequence". It matches the Rfam family "TPP riboswitch aptamer (THI element)". Rfam says of the family: Vitamin B(1) in its active form thiamin pyrophosphate (TPP) is an essential coenzyme that is synthesised by coupling of pyrimidine and thiazole moieties in bacteria. The previously detected thiamin-regulatory element, thi box was extended, resulting in a new, highly conserved RNA secondary structure, the THI element, which is widely distributed in eubacteria and also occurs in some archaea. Analysis of operon structures identified a large number of new candidate thiamin-regulated genes, mostly transporters, in various prokaryotic organisms. The record is from RNAcentral. Lineage: Bacteria; Bacillati; Bacillota; Bacilli; Lactobacillales; Lactobacillaceae.
ACGAAACAUUUGGGGUGCACAAACGCUGAGAUUAUACCCAUUGAACCUGAUACGGCUAACACCGGCGCAGGAAAAUGUGAAAUGAUUUUU